GAUGAAGAACGCAGCGAAAUGCGAUAAGUAAUGUGAAUUGCAGAAUUCAGUGAAUCAUCGAAUCUUUGAACGCACAUUGCGCCCGCCAGUAUUCUGGCGGGCAUGCCUGUUCGAGCGUCAUUACAACCCUCAGGCCCCCGGGCCUGGCGUUGGGGAUCGGCGGAGCCCCCCGUGGGCACACGCCGUCCCCCAAAUGCAGUGGUGGUCCCGCCGCAGCUUCCAUCGCGUAGUAGCUAACACCUCGCGACUGGAGAGCGGCGCGGCCACGCCGUAAAACACCCAACUCUUCUGAAGUUGACCUCGAAUCAGGUAGGAAUACCCGCUGAACUUAAGCAUAUCAAUAAGCGGAGGA
RNAcentral lists this unclassified non-coding RNA (352 nucleotides) under soil metagenome. RNAcentral describes it as "partial contains 5.8S ribosomal RNA, internal transcribed spacer 2, and large subunit ribosomal RNA". The stretch from base 1 to 120 matches the Rfam family "5.8S ribosomal RNA", at positions 35 to 154 of the family's 154-position model. The record is from RNAcentral.